Sinocyclocheilus anshuiensis is the source of this 5654-nucleotide long non-coding RNA. The record is from Ensembl. NCBI's taxonomy places the organism in Eukaryota, Metazoa, Chordata, Actinopteri, Cypriniformes, Cyprinidae.
GGAAGCAGGCGUUCGGCCAAGACAGCACUUCCAGAGUGUGGACCGAAUCUGUGUCUGUUGUAAAAGGUGUCUCAACUCAUUCCUUUAAAGAUCAAAUGAAGGCUCCAUUUGCGAGUGAACAGAAUGCCACGGUGCCCUCUCUUCCUCUGUCAAACCCAUCUUACACAAAGAAAAGCCAGGAAAAAACGCAGCUGAUCCACAGCCAGGGUGAGGCUGUCUUAAGUCAGAGAUGUUACCAGCAUCCUCAUUUCAGAUCACAACAUGAUGUUCUCUCUUGUUCCAUACAGAUGUCCAAUCUCUCCAGGAACCUGGUCUGUCCGCACACAUCAGUAUCCCACAGCUAGCAGAGGAGGACUGGUCCAGACUAGUAGCGCUAUCUCCUCUCUUCCAGCUGAUGAAGGAAGUGGAGCAGCAGCUCAGGGAUAGUGCCAGAGACAGAGGCCUUCUCAAGAUCCAGCCCUCGGGUCAGGCUCUAAUUAUCACCACUGAAACGUGCAAUCUGGACUCGUCAGAUCUGCAAAGUCAUUAGUGUAGCAACAGAUGACUUAAAGCCAUGAGAACCAUCACGUACAUAGUGAUCAAAGUGAGACACAUGACACAAAUGGUGUGUUGGUACAAGCAUUCAAGUGCAGGCCGGUCAUUCGUGGAUUUCAUGGAUGCCCAGUGGGAGUGUGAGGGAGAGCUGAUUCAAGUGAGCUCUGAAACACUCGAUCCACGACAGCUUCUGCUCUACCAGCAUGGACAGUUUCUCCUCCAGCAUCUUUGCUUACAUAAAAUGAUACCAGCAGUAACCCUUCAACUGGCUUCUACUCUUCCAUUCAACGACUACCCUAACAAUGCUUUCCGCAACUCUUUCUAUUAUCAGGAGGGACAGAAGACCCUGUUUGUUCGCUGUCAGAGGUUGCAGUCAGUGGGUGGCCUCUCUCUGCUGCUUAUGCACUGUGCUGCACACAUUUCCACCAGUCAGAUGAGGCCAGGCUCCACUCCCACCUUCCAAAGGGCCUUUUUCAAGGUUUUACAGUUGGGCCUAAGUGAGCUGUUCCAUGCCAGACUGGGACAAACUGAUGAUGAGAGGACAAAAGAUUUGGCGUCUGACGGAGCUCUCAACGGUCUUCUGCUGGAAAGAGUGCAGAAACCAAGUCCUGGGGUUUUCUCCGAGGAUGAUGUUUUGGGAUGUCUGCGCAAAUACAGAGAGGCUUCAGUGUUCCGCCAGGUCGAGAGUCUCCUAAAAGUGUCUCCUAAGAGCCUGGAGAUCAAGCACCUCAACACUGACCCGUCACUCAGCGAUGGCCCAGACAGCCAAGAUGCCGCUCCUCCAUGAACUGACAAUUUAACUUUGAACAGUGCUGCCUUUCUGACAGUGAUAAAUCCAGCUUUCAAAGGCAUGUUAUGUGCUGUGAGGCAGCGGAUGGCCUUAUCGUCUUGGAUGGUAACAGUUCCUGGACUGGGUUAGAGCAUCUAGUUUUGCUUCCGGUGAUGACCCAGCACAGCUAGAUAUCUACUUUCUUGUACAAAAAAAAAAAAGGGCAUUAAGAAAACACAUUAUAAGGGUCAUAAAACUGCAUAGGUCCAACAAGCAGGCCUCUGUUUAAUGCAGUUUUAAUGUAAUUUUGGAGGAUAAGGGCAUGUUACAGAAUUUGACCAUGUUGGUAUCUACCUAAUCUGACUAGCUUCCACCAAAUGACAAAUUUGCACCAGAAUAGUUAUGCCGGUGAACGUCUUAACCUCAGUCAAUAAGUAAAAAACUGACAGAGCUUUCUAACGCUGCAUUAAUGGCGCAUAUUCUCUAAGAUUAUGAGAGACGAAUCUACUUCAACAUAUGCUGAUAACGGUAUAUAACGGUCUUAAAUUAUUCCCUGAAUAUUUCUCUUGUGGCCCGUAUAUAUUGAAAAACAUGAGAAGAAACGUACUAUUUUGCGUUAAACAUGCUGUUCUUGAAAAUCGGUGCAUGAAACAGCUGCUCUUAAUUUUCAAUGAUGACAGCAGUGUUAAUCAUUUUAAUUAUAGGCCUGUUAAGUCCUCUUAAUAUUGCCAAUAUUUGAUGCUUUUGACAAUAUCUCUGGCAAUAGUUGACACAUGAUACGCCGCAACUCAGCACAGGGAGGUUAUCGUGAAUUAAAUCUUAAAAAUGUCUAAAUAUUUAAUGCAUUAUUACCAUUAAAAUGAACUUAAUUUAGUAUUUAAAUAGUUAAGUAUUUAAAUAAUUAACCCUUCUGCUGUUGGUGUCUGGGCUUAUUUGUUUACUUAUUUUUUAAAUGACAUGAGACUUUAAACUUUGACCUCCUGCUCUGGCUAUAUUUCAUAGUCAUUUUGUAAUAAAUCCAAAAGCAAGUCGUGAGAAAAAAAAAAAAAAGGGGAGUGGAAAUGGCAACAGAGCUAAUGAGUGAUCAUCUGCUGCCAUCAACUGGAUAUUAAAGGUAAUUUCAUGUCAUUUUCAUCAGUCUUUGUUGCCUUUCUGACAGUGAUAAAUCCAGCUUUCAAAGGCAUGUUAUGUGCUGUGAGGCAGCGGAUGGCCUUAUCGUCUUGGAUGGUAACAGUUCCUGGACUGGGUUAGAGCAUCUAGUUUUGCUUCCGGUGAUGACCCAGCACAGCUAGAUAUCUACUUUCUUGUACAAAAAAAAAAAAGGGCAUUAAGAAAACACAUUAUAAGGGUCAUAAAACUGCAUAGGUCCAACAAGCAGGCCUCUGUUUAAUGCAGUUUUAAUGUAAUUUUGGAGGAUAAGGGCAUGUUACAGAAUUUGACCAUGUUGGUAUCUACCUAAUCUGACUAGCUUCCACCAAAUGACAAAUUUGCACCAGAAUAGUUAUGCCGGUGAACGUCUUAACCUCAGUCAAUAAGUAAAAAACUGACAGAGCUUUCUAACGCUGCAUUAAUGGCGCAUAUUCUCUAAGAUUAUGAGAGACGAAUCUACUUCAACAUAUGCUGAUAACGGUAUAUAACGGUCUUAAAUUAUUCCCUGAAUAUUUCUCUUGUGGCCCGUAUAUAUUGAAAAACAUGAGAAGAAACGUACUAUUUUGCGUUAAACAUGCUGUUCUUGAAAAUCGGUGCAUGAAACAGCUGCUCUUAAUUUUCAAUGAUGACAGCAGUGUUAAUCAUUUUAAUUAUAGGCCUGUUAAGUCCUCUUAAUAUUGCCAAUAUUUGAUGCUUUUGACAAUAUCUCUGGCAAUAGUUGACACAUGAUACGCCGCAACUCAGCACAGGGAGGUUAUCGUGAAUUAAAUCUUAAAAAUGUCUAAAUAUUUAAUGCAUUAUUACCAUUAAAAUGAACUUAAUUUAGUAUUUAAAUAGUUAAGUAUUUAAAUAAUUAACCCUUCUGCUGUUGGUGUCUGGGCUUAUUUGUUUACUUAUUUUUUAAAUGACAUGAGACUUUAAACUUUGACCUCCUGCUCUGGCUAUAUUUCAUAGUCAUUUUGUAAUAAAUCCAAAAGCAAGUCGUGAGAAAAAAAAAAAAAAGGGGAGUGGAAAUGGCAACAGAGCUAAUGAGUGAUCAUCUGCUGCCAUCAACUGGAUAUUAAAGGUAAUUUCAUGUCAUUUUCAUCAGUCUUUGUUUUCCACCAGGAGACAAAUUUAUUUAAUCUCAUCUUCAUGAAUGAAAUGUGAAUCUUUAAAGUGAAUUUUACUGCACAACUAUAGAGUUAAAAAAAAUAAUAAACAGUGUAAAGUAUUAUGUGUUUAAAAAAUUUGUUUAAAUUGGGGGAGAUGUCUUUCCCCCAAUUUAUUUUUGUCACUUUUUUCACCCAUGAUGGGUUUGCUUUGCAUCCCUGAUGACUUUCUUCUUUCAGACGAAUUCAGUCAGAGUUAUAUUAAAAAUGUGCUGGCUCUUCCAAGCUUUAUAAUGGCAGUGAAUGGGUGUUGAGAUUUUGAAGUCCAAUAAAGUGCAUCCAUCAUAAAAUGUGCUCAACACAGCUCCAGAGGGUUAAUAAAGGCCUUCUAAAGUGAAGUGAUGUGUUUGUGUAAGAAAAAUGUUCAUAUUUAAAACGUUAUAAACCGUAAUUUCUAGCUUCCGCUAACUGUUGUAUGUGCAUUCACGAGAGAGUGACGUUCCAGCGGACGCUCCGGUCGCGAGAACCAAGUUUUGUUUACAGCAAAGGCAAACCAGUCUCCUCUUGGCUUAUAUCGAAAUCCUCCAACAUUCUUCUUUACAAUCUUCGCUUUGUACUUCUAAUUCGUGGUUUUUUGUUUUGCUCUCUCUGCUGCACUCACAUGUUCGUUACUUCUCACCGGAGCUUAUGCUACACAUACGUCCUACAUCAUCUACUGGAACGACACUCUCAUGAGCGUGCGUACAAAAGUUAGUGGAAGCUAGAGAUUAUGGUUCAUACAGUUUUAAAUAUAGAUAUUUUUCUUACACAAACACAUCAAUUCGCUUCAGAAGGUCUUUAUUAACCCCCCGGAGCCACGUGGAGUACUUAUGAUGAAUGGAUGCACUUUAUUUUGCUUCAGGACCACCAUUCAUUGCCAUUAUAAAGCUUGGAAGAGCCAGGAUAUUUUUUAUAAUAUAACUGAUUGUAUUUGUCUGAAAGAAAAAAGUCAUAUAGACCUAGAAUGGCUUGAGGGUGAGUAAACCAUGGGGUAAUUUUCAUUUUUGGGUGAACUAUCCCUUUAAAUUUAUUAAUUAAUUUAUUUACUAUAAAUUUAUGAUUAUAAAUUUGCUCAAGUAGCAAAAGAAAAAAUCCAAGAUAGCGUUUCCACGCCAUUCCCAAAGAAGAGAGAAAGAUGUAAAAUUUACAGUUCCUGUCAGCCGUUGUAUUAGAAACAGCAGCAGUUAACUAGUUUUGUUGUAAUUUAAUGCCAGGGUAAUGUUAUAAAUGUAUCUUUACAUUUUGUAAAUGUGAACAUAUAUAUAAUAAAACCUUGCUAGAUUUACGAAGUUAAUAACUGUGGAAAUUCUGUGAAAUGGGACCAUGUAAUCAAUGAUUUAUUGCAUUUAAUUUAUUUGUGUUUAGAUGUAGAACCAUCAUUUCCUGCUGUCCAUGACCAUCUCAACACAGACCUCUUGACCAAUUUUAGGGUCAUGACCCAGUAGUUAAGACUUAUGGUAUUCGAUUAUGACUAAAAUAAAAAGAAAGACAAGCAUUUACGGAAUAUAUAGUGAAAUAAUGGCCUGAACUUUGAUUUUAAAAUAGAUUUAACAGCAAAAUGCUCAGUGCAGAAUUCUAGUGAUGAUGUUUUAAAGCAGCAACACAUAAACCAUCUCUGCCUUGUUUUGUAUACUAUAAAGCAGUACAAGACAGUCCAUCUACACUUCUUGGGUGUCUGAGUGCAACUUUAACAAUCUUGCUUAUCAAAUACUUAUACGCAUAUAUGCCAUUGUACUCAUUGUAUUGUUUUGCACUGUCUUGUUUGAUUGCAUUUAUGUAUAUAUUCAUAUAAAUUAUGUACUAUAAUUUAAAAACUAUAAAUUUAAAUUUAUAUAACUAUAAUCAAACUAUAAAUUUAUAGUGGUGUUUUUCUGAUAUUCACAUUUGAUGCAGCUGCUUUUUCGUGCCUGAAUGUACCUCUAGGGAUCAAUAAAGUAUGUUUAUCUGGAGUAACAACAAGCGAAGGAAAGGAACAAUAAAACAUUUUUAUCUAAGUAAGUUAUGCCUGCUUUUGGAUUACAUCUCAGACGUUGUUCAUAUUCAUGAAUAAACUGGAGCACCUUAAUUUCCCC